Molecule: long non-coding RNA, 4478 nt
Filed under: Salmo salar (Atlantic salmon)
Lineage: Eukaryota; Metazoa; Chordata; Actinopteri; Salmoniformes; Salmonidae
Description: lncRNA (ENSSSAG00000102599.1)
Source: RNAcentral
CUUCUAAAGGAUUCUUUAUUGCCAUGUCCUCCAGUUCACAGUACAUGAACAACAUUUAGUCAAUUGACUUCCUGUGAGGGAAAGAACAGGUUUAGAGGUGGCAUCAUACUGAAAACAUGUUUUUGUGUUUUACAAUACAUUCCCUCAGUGUGCCACUGCCUGGUUAUGGUAACGUCAGCUCUUUAACUGGCUGAGCUGAGUGCAUAAUGUGUGCUACUGUUCUGACCUGAUGUGUGGCCCAGGCCUGCCGUAAACCUACACCAGGGAUAUGACUUCAUGUGUGCUUCUACUGGUAAUCAUGUACUCUAUUCUAUCUUGACAUUCCAGCUCUGUGUGGUAAGUAGGACAUAUACUGACACCAUGGUUUCCUGUAAGGAUGGUGUCAUGACAUAAAAGGCAAACCAAUGAGGAUAACAGGAAAACACUUCAUUUAUCCGUGCUCUUACAGCAUGGAGGGGUGGAGGCAACAUCCACAUGUCUCUACCAGGGAUCUUUCUCAUAGGUUUACUAUUGGCUGGGUGGAGAUCAUUUUCCAGCUGAAGUAGCCUACAGCAGGUGAGUGAAUGGCCUAUUGAAUUGUUCUGUGUCAGGUGUCAGACAUACAUUCUGUGUUAGGUGUCAGACAUACGUUCUGUGUUAGGUGUCAGACAUACGUUCUGUGUUAGGUGUCAGACAUACGUUCUGUGUCAGGUGUCAGACAUAUGUUCUGUGUUAGGUGUCAGACAUACGUUCUGUGUCAGACAUACGUUCUGUGUUAGGUGUCAGACAUACGUUCAGUGUCAGGUGUCAGACAUAUGUUCUGUGUUAGGUGUCAGACAUACGUUCUGUGUCAGACAUACGUUCUGUGUUAGGUGUCAGACAUACGUUCAGUGUCAGGUGUCAGACAUACGUUCUGUGUCAGACAUACGUUCUGUGUUAGGUGUCAGACAUACGUUCUGUGUCAGACAUACGUUCUGUGUCAGGUGUCAGACAUACGUUCUGUGUCAGGUGUCAGAUAUACGUUCUGUGUCAGGUGUCAGACAUACGUUCUGUGUCAGGUGUCAGACAUACGUUCUGUGUUAGGUGUCAGACAUACGUUCUGUGUCAGGUGUCAGACAUACGUUCUGUGUUAGGUGUCAGACAUACGUUCUGUGUCAGACAUACGUUCUGUGUUAGGUGUCAGACAUACAUUCUGUGUCAGGUGUCAGACAUACGUUCUGUGUCAGACAUACGUUCUGUGUUAGGUGUCAGACAUACGUUCUGUGUCAGGUGUCAGACAUACGUUCAGUGUCAGGUGUCAGACAUACGUUCUGUGUCAGGUGUCAGACAUACGUUCUGUGUUAGGUGUCAGACAUACGUUCUGUGUCAGGUGUCAGACAUACGUUCUGUGUUAGGUGUCAGACGUACAUUCUGUGUCAGACAUACGUUCUGUGUUAGGUGUCAGACAUACGUUCUGUGUCAGGUGUCAGACAUACGUUCUGUGUUAGGUGUCAGACAUACGUUCUGUGUCAGGUGUCAGACAUACGUUCUGUGUUAGGUGUCAGACAUACGUUCUGUGUCAAACAUACGUUCUGUGUUAGGUGUCAGACAUACAUUCUGUGUCAGGUGUCAGACAUACGUUCUGUGUCAGACAUACGUUCUGUGUUAGGUGUCAGACAUACGUUCUGUGUCAGGUGUCAGACAUACGUUCUGUGUUAGGUGUCAGACGUACGUUCUGUGUCAGGUGUCAGACAUACGUUCUGUGUUAGGUGUCAGAUGUACGUUCUGUGUUAGGUGUCAGACAUACGUUCUGUGUUAGGUGUCAGACAUACGUUCUGUGUCAGACAUACGUUCUGUGUCAGGUGUCAGACAUACGUUCUGUGUCAGGUGUCAGACAUACGUUCUGUGUGAGGUGUCAGACAUACUUUCUGUGUCAGACAUACGUUCUGUGUCAGACAUACGUUCUGUGUUAGACAUACGUUCUGUGUUAGGUGUCAGACAUACGUUCUGUGUCAGACAUACGUUCUGUGUUAGGUGUCAGACAUACGUUCUGUGUCAGACAUACGUUCUGUGUUAGGUGUCAGACAUACGUUCUGUGUCAGGUGUCAGACAUACGUUCUGUGUCAGACAUACGUUCUGUGUCAGGUGUCAGACAUACGUUCUGUGUUAGGUGUCAGACAUACGUUCUGUGUCAAACAUACGUUCUGUGUUAGGUGUCAGACAUACAUUCUGUGUCAGGUGUCAGACAUACGUUCUGUGUCAGACAUACGUUCUGUGUUAGGUGUCAGACAUACGUUCUGUGUCAGGUGUCAGACAUACGUUCUGUGUUAGGUGUCAGACGUACGUUCUGUGUCAGGUGUCAGACAUACGUUCUGUGUUAGGUGUCAGACGUACGUUCUGUGUUAGGUGUCAGACAUACGUUCUGUGUUAGGUGUCAGACAUACGUUCUGUGUCAGACAUACGUUCUGUGUCAGGUGUCAGACAUAUACGUUCUGUGUUAGGUGUCAGACAUACGUUCUGUGUCAGACAUACGUUCUGUGUUAGGUGUCAGACAUACGUUCUGUGUUAGGUGUCAGACAUACGUUCUGUGUCAGGUGUCAGACAUACGUUCUGUGUCAGGUGUCAGACAUACGUUCUGUGUCAGGUGUCAGACAUACGUUCUGUGUCAGGUGUCAGACAUACGUUCUGUGUCAGGUGUCAGACAUACGUUCUGUGUCAGGUGUCAGACAUACGUUCUGUGUUAGGUGUCAGACAUACGUUCUGUGUCAGACAUGCGUUCUGUGUCAGGUGUCAGACAUACGUUCUGUGUCAGGUGUCAGACAUACGUUCUGUGUUAGGUGUCAGACAUACGUUCUGUGUCAGACAUACGUUUUGUGUCAGGUGUCAGACAUACGUUCUGUGUCAGACAUACGUUCUGUGUUAGGUGUCAGACAUACAUUCUGUGUCAGACAUACGUUCUGUGUCAGACAUACGUUCUGUGUUAGGUGUCAGACAUACAUUCUGUGUCAGACAUACGUUCUGUGUCAGGUGUCAGACAUACGUUCUGUGUUAGGUGUCAGACAUACGUUCUGUGUCAGACAUACAUUCUGUGUUAGGUGUCAGACAUACGUUCUGUGUCAGGUGUCAGACAUACAUUCUGUGUCAGGUGUCAGACAUACGUUCUGUGUCAGGUGUCAGAGAUACGUUCUGUGUUAGGUGUCAGACAUAUGUUCUGUGUCAGACAUACGUUCUGUGUUAGGUGUCAGACAUACGUUCUGUGUUAGGUGUCAGACAUACGUUCUGUGUCAGGUGUCAGACAUACGUUCUGUGUCAGACGUACGUUCUGUGUCAGACAUACGUUCUGUGUUAGGUGUCAGACAUACAUUCUGUGUUAGGUGUCAGACAUACGUUCUGUGUUAGGUGUCAGACAUACGUUCUGUGUGAGGUGUCAGACAUACUUUCUGUGUCAGACAUACGUUCUGUGUCAGACAUACGUUCUGUGUUAGACAUACGUUCUGUGUUAGGUGUCAGACAUACGUUCUGUGUCAGACAUACGUUCUGUGUUAGGUGUCAGACAUACGUUCUGUGUCAGACAUGCGUUCUGUGUCAGACAUACGUUCUGUGUCAGGUGUCAGACAUACGUUCUGUGUUAGGUGUCAGACAUACGUUCUGUGUCAGACAUACGUUCUGUGUUAGGUGUCAGACAUACGUUCUGUGUCAGGUGUCAGACAUACGUUCUGUGUUAGGUGUCAGACAUACGUUCUGUGUCAGACAUACGUUCUGUGUCAGGUGUCAGACAUACGUUCUGUGUUAGGUGUCAGACAUACAUUCUGUGUCAGACAUACGUUCUGUGUCAGGUGUCAGACAUACGUUCUGUGUUAGGUGUCAGACAUACGUUCUGUGUUAGGUGUCAGACAUACAUUCUGUGUCAGAUAUACAUUCUGUGUCAGACAUACAUUCUGUGUCAGACAUACGUUCUGUGUUAGGUGUCAGACAUACGUUCUGUGUUAGGUGUCAGACACGUUCUGUGUUAGGUGUCAGACAUACGUUCUGUGUCAGGUGUCAGACAUACGUUCUGUGUUAGGUGCAGACAUACGUUCUGUGUCAGACAUACGUUCUGUGUCAGGUGUCAGACACGUUCUGUGUUAGGUGUCAGACAUACGUUCUGUGUCAGGUGUCAGACAUACGUUCUGUGUCAGGUGUCAGACAUACGUUCUGUGUUAGGUGCAGACAUACGUUCUGUGUCAGACAUACGUUCUGUGAUGCAUAAAUGGGUCUUCAAAGUGCACUCAAGAGUGUGAUUUGGAGGAUGGUUCAUACUUGUCCAAAUUAUUGUGGAAAGUUGUGUUUUUCUGCAUCGAAUUAUUAGAUUUUGAUAGGGUUGGAGAUACUGGUCUUUAACCAGUGCUAUACAGAAUAAUUCCCAAUAACCUAACAAAACCAAACACAAAUUUCAUAUCGUCUUCAUAUAUAACCCAUUUGACACUUUCCUGGGGUCCCUAACCCCAUCUUAUUGUAGGUCUUCUUUUAAAUGUAAUUAG